AAUAUGUACUUAUAAGCAAACAAAUUUAUAUUAUUUACAGUUUAGAUAGUAUUUACAGUUUUUCCAAGCACAAUUAUUUACACAUUAACAAUUAUUUACAAAAUCAUCAAGCGCCGUGACCUUCGACGUGUCCCCCUUCUCUUGCAACACAAAGCAUUGUUCGCCUGUGCAUAUCUCGAACUGCCCGUGUAACGAAGGCAGGCUGCUCUCGCAAAGCGUUAAAUUCUCGGAUGAUUUUUUGGCGCAACUCGUCAAUAUCGCGCGGUGGACUUGAGAAUACCUUAUCUUUAAUAUACCCCCACAAAAAGAAGUCGCAUGGUGUCAAGUCCGGUGACCUAGGUGGCCAUUCAACAUUAUGACCCAGCCCAAUGACACGGUUGUUCCCAAACACAGCAUUCAGCCGAUCUCUGACUGCGAUCAGGCGAUGUGCAGGCGCGCCGUCUUGAGCCCACCAUAGACCCCGAAACAUUUCCUCCCAAUGCUGAUUAUUAAAACGUUCAGCUAGUUGCGGGAAGACAAAUUCAUUGAACAUUCGGAGAUAGGCGAUUCCGUUUACAUUCUGUUCGGAAAAGUAAGGCCCAAAAAUCAUUCCGUUACCACAAAGCGCUGCCCAGACAGACCGUCAGAUGCUCACGAGAAUGGCUCCUUUCAAAAUUAAACGCAGGCGGGUGUCCUUUAGGCGCAUACUGUCGUACGUUUUGGGUGUUGACUUCGCCAUUCAUUACAAAUGAUGCUUCGUCUCCGAUAAGGAAACUAUCCAAGAAAUUUUCUCGGCGGCAGCGUUCGUUAAGCCAAACGGAAAAGCGUAAUCGACGGGCAAAGUCGGCUGGCAACAAUUCGUGUCGUACAUGCAUUCGAUAUGGGUGCCAUUUUAUGUCCUGCCUUGUUAUGCGGUUAAAGCUUGCACGAGAAAUUGGAAUAGGGUUGCGACGAGCACUCACGUGAGGGUUUUCCUGCAGUAUAUCCCUAACAGCGUCAAUGUUUUCUGCAGUUCGAGUAGUUCUUCUUCUGCCGGAAUUGCCUUUAUUGAGGUUUAGACUGGUUCCGGAGUUUUCGUAUUUCCUUACGUUUUCCAAAAUUGUGCUUGCCGCAGGUGGAUUGCGAUUUGGGAACCUUUCUCGAAAAGCGUUUCGCACUUGUGUCGUACUUUGUGUUCUCGUAUAAUUUAACACGACAAAAACUCUUUGUUCGGGCGUUAGUUGAACCAUUUCUCUCGAAGUGAUGACAGGAAUAAUUUGUAAUGUUCUCAUUUUUGUUAAUCCGUAAUUUCUUUUACAAUUUACGAAGCAUUUUUAAAUUCCCAUGAGCAAACAAACGUUCACUUUACAAAGAUAUUUUAAUUUUUUAAAACAAAUUAAUCACCGUGUCAAAAUCCUUUGUGUUACGGCAUUGAAAUUCGAACAAUACGUUAUUUCAAUGAUUUUGGGUUUUUUUGAGACACCCUGUAUAUAUACCUUUCAAAAUAGUGUGUAAAUCUUUAAAGAUUGGAACAACAUUUCAGAUUUUCACAAAAAAUUGUGAUUUAAAUCUUGAUUUCUACAGCAUUUUUUCAAAGAAUUUAGAUUAGGGAAAAAACAAAUCGGUCAAAUACUGUUGUUUGAUGCCUCGACUGACUGGAGUCCAACGAGCAGAUUAAUAUUAUUUGUAUACCCCAUCGCGCUCCACCAAUAAAAAUCGAAAAAAAACCGCGCGGAAAUAUAUAUCAGUGGCUAGUUGUACGAAAGCCGGACGACAGACGUCGCUGAGAGGCCCUGCAUGGAAUGGCUGCAUGGGAAUAUCGUGUUAGCAAUACAAACCCGCGCAUACACCAUUUUCAAAUAAAAAAUAUGCCCAUAAAUUGAAAACGUUUAAUACACUUUUUGCAGGCUUCAUCGAAUUCUAAUGUUUUGGAUGGGCUGUUAAAUGAAUACAUUACAUUUUCCGCUUUGCUAAGAUAUGGACACAUGUCAAGAAUUUCAAUGCACGACUUGGCUUGUCCUUCGAUAAACGUUCUCCUCGCUAGGAAUGUGUGUUCAACCAAAGAAAAAAAACGUUUUUCCAGAGACGAAGCCAACUUUACAAUUCUUAAUUAGCUCCAAAUUUCUUUUCUCUGUUGCAUUGUCAUCCAUCUUUUUCUUCUCCAGCUUAGCAAUCUUAUAGCUGCAGACCAGCUUGGUUCCCCCUGUUGCAGGUACCAUUGAUUUCUUUGGUUUGGAAUAGCGUCGCUGAUUCCUAAAAUACUGGCUCAACUGUUUUUGCACAGAUGCCUACAUGAGAAAUCAAAAUUAGAAUUAACAUUGGUUACCAUGCAUGCAAACCUAUUAUAAGCAGUUUGAGGUUUUGCGUUUGAGCCCAAAACACUGUAAGCGUUGCCGUUCUGUGCUGAAGUUUUUUUAUAAUUGGAAGAAAACAAGAGGAUGAUACAUGAGGCUGCUUAACGCUAAAUUAAAUAUCCAACCAUGCAAUGUCAAUGACCAAAAUCGUGCAUGAAACAAAGCCAUAUUAACACGCAAAAUUUAAAAAUACUUGCAUAUAAUUCAACACUAUAUACCUUUCAAAAUAGUGUGUAAAUCUUUAAAGAUUGGAACAACAUUUCAGAUUUUCAUAAAAAAAAGUGAGGUUAAAUCUAGAUUUCUACAGCAUUUUUUCAAAGAAUCUAGUGGAGAUUAGGGAAAAAAACAAAUGGGUCAAAUCAUCGUAGUUAUACGAUGGCCGGGUAGCGUUACCUACUGGACAGUGAUUGUUUCAACCCUUGUAAGCUGUGAAAAUACACUUAUAUUGAUCCCACAAAAAAAACCUAAAGGAAUAAUUAGUAAGGUUUAAUGUGUACACAUGCUAUAGUCAAUGAGCCAUUUUGGAGAAGUUGAUAAAAUAAUUAAAAUUACGAUUCGCCGGAUAGCCCUAUCUGAUCGUCAUACAACCGGUCCCAGAGAAUCACACUUCAAAAAUAUUUAAGAACGUUUGACGUUUGUAAAGCUUGUAUGAUUUCCCUAAAAAUCGUGGAUUUCUAUUCAAGGUAUAAACGGUCACUGUAGCUUCCAGAAUACACAGGGCUAUAAUGUUCGCAAAUUUUUUUGUUUGCAACCUAUUCACCCACAAUGAUGUUUUUUAAGAUUCUAAAAUUUAAUUUUGUUAGCAUAAAACAUUACAUUAACGAAUUUGCUUCAAAAAGAACGCCGUGACGCAAUGGGUUGCAAGAUCAAAGUUAAUCGUGUAAAAUAUAAUUUCAAGCAUAUUAAUAUGCGCGCCAUGUAGUUCCUUUAUAAGUUUCGUCUUGUAGUUAUUAGGAGCCAGACUGGAGCCUAUAGCCUUUGAUUGUAUACGUUUGGCCAGCUGCCUCCAUACUUGCUUUUUCGUUGACAAGUCGAGGCAUAAGAUCAUUCACUUGGCAAAAAACUACGUGCAAAUACAACUAACGUGUUUAGAUUCAAGUUUUUUCAUAAAAAGUGGUUUGAACGACCUGGCUGAUGCAUGAAAAUAUGAAAAUGUUGAAGCGACUUUUGUUUGAUUUUUGUAUUCUGUAUAUUUGGAAAGCAUUUCAUGGUUCUAUUGGAGUUUCUGGAGAUUAAAACGUCUUAAUAUAAAAUAAGCUUUCCUGUUCCACAUUCCUUUUUGCCAAGUGAAAAAACCUCAACAAUAUUGAAAAUAAGUUGACACAAUGUAAUUUAUUUAUUUACUACGAUUUAAAAGUUAUGUAAAUCACUUUCUAAUUUUUAAUACAAUUUGAUGUAUGUAUAUUCCAUAUAUGUUGAACUGAAG
Molecule: non-coding RNA, 3738 nt
Organism: Paramuricea clavata
Lineage: Eukaryota; Metazoa; Cnidaria; Anthozoa; Malacalcyonacea; Plexauridae
Source: the annotation of a GenBank genome assembly